AAAGGAUAAGGUUGGACGAAAGUACCAGCAGUGAAAAUUAAUGCACUAGCAGCUUACAGAAAGUUAGGGUUCUCAUUCUUCCUAGAGAAACUCUUAAAUUUCUUUUGUGCAGUUUUUGGUGUGUGGGCGCAAGCGCAUGCGCGCGCGUGUUGGGGGGGUGGGGUAGAAUUAGAUUUGUUAGAAAAGAAGCUCUUUUCCAUUCCAGUCACAACUAAAGUUCAAACAAAACUCUUAGCUUGCUGGAAGAAGCCUGGAGGUGUUAAGGGACAGCUUCGCUUAAUCUUUCUUUCUCUUCUUCCUAAGCCAUGUGAAGACCUUGCCUGAUUCCCCUUUGCCCUCCACCAUGAUUGUAAGUUUCCUGAAGCCUCCUCCUCAGACGAAGCCUACACAGCCUGCAGAACUGUGAAGUGAUUAAACCUCUUUUCUUUAUAAGUUACCCAGCCUCAGGUAUACAUGGCAAGCAGGGGCCAGAUUAUAUACACUGCCUUAAAGAUUAUGGUCUUUAUCCUCAGUGCAACAAAAUAAAGUCAUUGAAGAGUUUUAAGUAGAGGACUGACAUGAUGACAUGUUAGGUUCAGCCUUCUGAAGAAUUUGAGAAUCCAUCAUUGCACUGGAAAAUGGAACAAAAAGUCGACUUCAAAGGACCUUGCCCACAAAAGACACCAGAAUGGCAUGAAAAUGCACCUCACAGACAGAGCACCCAGCUGCUGUGCUUUGAAGUCAGCCACACCUCCCAUUCAUUGCUGUUACCAAUGGACUGACUGAAUGCUGUGGCGAUACUGAGGCCGUCUUAGUCCCGGAAGACAGGUGGGGCUCCUUUGUCCACCGCUUAGGCUGGAGUACUUCCCCAUGGCUUUGACAAACAAUCCUUAGACUGCAGAGUAGUGUAGGAUUCUUCCAUUCAACCUUCUCUCCCUCAUCCUGGGGUCAGACUUGGAUGCAGUCCGACAGCUGUCCCAGCCUUUCCUAGCUCCUUCUUUAUUUCUUUUUACACAGGCAUUUCCCACUAUUAAAAUCCUGACAUAUUUAAUCCUGUCUUUGUAUCUGUUUCUCUGAGGUCCUGGGCUAACACAAUUUCCCUUCUGGAACUUUUAUGAAAAAUGAGCAAGUGGAGACAUUGAUCUUAUUUUCUAAUAUCUGGGUGAUCUACUAUUUGGUUCUUAUGCAUUAAAUUAGAUUUUGAAAUCUUAAACUCAGGUCCGGGUCUCUUUGAGCUUUGCUAAUUAGUGCAUGGUGUGGAAAAGCUCAUGUGUCCUAGGGAACCACUUGACACUUUGAUGCUCCAUGGCAUCAAAGCAUGAAGAAUGAAAUAAAAUGGUAUAAUUAUUUUGUAUUUUAACUAUAAGAUCUCAAAGGAUGUUAUAGUUAAAAUUCAAAGUAAUUAUACUAUUUACAUGAUAUAACUAUAUACCAUAUAAGGUAUAAAGGCUCUCUGUGAUCCUUUAAUUCUCCAGGAUCUCAGAGAAACAGAUGCAAAGACAGGAUUAAUAAAUAUAAAUAAAUUUAUAUAAUAAAAAUAUUAAAGAUAGGGUCAAAAGCCUCCAAUUUUUAACUGAUAGAGUUGACCAAAGUAUAUUAAAAUAAUAUACUUAAUUACUUAAUUUAGUCAGCAUGUUAUUGUUUGCACUAGUCACAAGGGCUUUUGGACAAGAGUGAUGAUAAAUCAAUGCAAAUCCAACAUCGCUUCUAGAAAAAUGCCUUCUCAUGCCUGUAAUUCCAGCACUUUGGGAAGCUGAGGUGGGUGGAUAACCUGAGGUCGGGAGUUCGAGACCA
This 1773-nucleotide long non-coding RNA is filed under the name Homo sapiens (human). RNAcentral describes it as "HSALNT0077539". Lineage: Eukaryota; Metazoa; Chordata; Mammalia; Primates; Hominidae. The record is from RNAcentral.